GUUUGGCGGAAAUGCGUCACGGGUAGACGUGCACGGGGUGAGCUGUUUAUAGCGACAUACAUUGUUUCUGUGGCUUGUGUACCCGGUAUGGAUUAUCGAAAUAUUACGGCAUGUGGAACAGGCACAGAAUACAGACUGUGCUUCGCAUGACGGGUUAGCAGUCUCAACAAGUAAGUCAGGACCGGGCAGGUGUUCCCACCCAUAUUGCUACUUGAGCAUCAGGACCGACCAAGAGGGUUAUCUUUCACCAGGGUCUAGGCCAGCGAAGGGGCUAUGUAUGAAGAUCAUCAUGGAGGCCAAGGUCGGCGACUUUAUUAGCGACUGUUCUUCUGAGAACCAACCAACCAUUGUGGUGUGCUGUCGUGUCAUGGACACUAGUGCGGUUACCUAGCAAGGUGUAUACAAGCAUGGAACUGCUUGAAGAUAUUGGCUCUGGAUUGAGCUGGGUCACGAGUCAGUGACUGUUGUGGGAACUUUGUUGUGGUUCCUGAGAACUUUGGUAUUUAUCAUCGUCGUGGCCGUGUGUGAAGCGUCAAGCUACAUAUACAAUUUAUUACUUUAUUGUAGAGAGUGUGUGAGAUUGUGAGGGUGUAUGGUAUAUAUUUAAUGCUUAUAUGUUUUUCAUUGUAAAUAAACAUCAUCAUAGUUUUGUAA
Mizuhopecten yessoensis (Yesso scallop) is the source of this 654-nucleotide long non-coding RNA. RefSeq lists it as uncharacterized. The transcript is spliced from 2 exons. The record is from RefSeq and is a predicted model, not a curated record. Lineage: Eukaryota; Metazoa; Mollusca; Bivalvia; Pectinida; Pectinidae.